RNAcentral lists this ribosomal RNA (468 nucleotides) under uncultured bacterium. RNAcentral describes it as "partial 16S ribosomal RNA". It matches the Rfam family "Bacterial small subunit ribosomal RNA", at positions 28 to 507 of the family's 1533-position model. The record is from RNAcentral.
GACGAACGCUGGCGGCGUGCUUAACACAUGCAAGUCGAACGGAAAGGCCCUGCUUUUGUGGGGUGCUCGAGUGGCGAACGGGUGAUUAACACGUGAGUAACCUGCCCUUGACUUUGGGAUAACUUCAGGAAACUUGGGCUAAUACCGGAUAGGAGCUCCUGCUGCAUGGUGGGUGUUGGAAAGUUUCGGCGGUUGGGGAUGGACUCGCGGCUUAUCAGCUUGUUGGUGGGGUAGUGGCUUACCAAGGCUUUGACGGGUAGCCGGCCUGAGAGGGUGACCGGCCACAUUGGGACUGAGAUACGGCCCAGACUCCUACGGGAGGCAGCAGUGGGGAAUAUUGCACAAUGGGCGGAAGCCUGAUGCAGCAACGCCGCGUGCGGGAUGACGGCCUUCGGGUUGUAAACCGCUUUCGCCUGUGACGAAGCGUGAGUGACGGUAAUGGGUAAAGAAGCACCGGCUAACUACGUG